GAUGAACGCUGGCGGCGUGCCUAAUACAUGCAAGUCGAGCGAACAGACGAGGAGCUUGCUCCUUUGACGUUAGCGGCGGACGGGUGAGUAACACGUAGGUAACCUACCUAUAAGACUGGGAUAACUUCGGGAAACCGGAGCUAAUACCGGAUAAUAUUUCGAACCGCAUGGUUCGAUAGUGAAAGAUGGCUUUGCCAUCACUUAUAGAUGGACCUGCGCCGUAUUAGCUAGUUGGUAAGGUAACGGCUUACCAAGGCAACGAUACGUAGCCGACCUGAGAGGGUGAUCGGCCACACUGGAACUGAGACACGGUCCAGACUCCUACGGGAGGCAGCAGUAGGGAAUCUUCCGCAAUGGGCGAAAGCCUGACGGAGCAACGCCGCGUGAGUGAUGAAGGUCUUCGGAUCGUAAAACUCUGUUAUUAGGGAAGAACAAACGUGUAAGUAACUGUGCACGUCUUGACGGUACCUAAUCAGAAAGCCACGGCUAACUACGUG
Molecule: ribosomal RNA, 497 nt
Filed under: uncultured bacterium
Lineage: Bacteria
Description: partial 16S ribosomal RNA
Rfam family: Bacterial small subunit ribosomal RNA
Source: RNAcentral